RNAcentral lists this ribosomal RNA (170 nucleotides) under Fowleria marmorata (marbled cardinalfish). RNAcentral describes it as "partial 12S rRNA". Lineage: Eukaryota; Metazoa; Chordata; Actinopteri; Kurtiformes; Apogonidae. The record is from RNAcentral.
CACCGCGGUUAUACGAGUGGCCCAAGCUGACAGUCCCCGGCGUAAAGAGUGGUUAAGAAACUCCUUAAACUAAAGCCGAACAUCUACAAAGUUGUAUAACGCAUUCGAAGAAUUGAAGCUCAUCCACGAAAGUGGCUUUAAACUCUUUGACCCCACGAAAGCUAAGUAAA